This 254-nucleotide ribosomal RNA is filed under the name uncultured prokaryote. Its description in RNAcentral is "partial 16S ribosomal RNA". It matches the Rfam family "Bacterial small subunit ribosomal RNA", at positions 522 to 775 of the family's 1533-position model. The record is from RNAcentral.
AAUACGUAGGGGGCAAGCGUUGUCCGGAUUUAUUGGGCGUAAAGAGCGUGUAGGCGGCCAGGCAGGUCCGCUGUGAAAACUCGAGGCUCAACCUCGAGAGGUCGGUGGAAACCGUCUGGCUAGAGUCCGGAAGAGGAGAGUGGAAUUCCCGGUGUAGCGGUGAAAUGCGCAGAUAUCGGGAGGAACACCCGUGGCGAAGGCGGCUCUCUGGGACGGUACUGACGCUGAGACGCGAAAGCGUGGGGAGCGAACAG